This 67-nucleotide transfer RNA is filed under the name Bavayia borealis. RNAcentral's name for it is "tRNA-Cys". Lineage: Eukaryota; Metazoa; Chordata; Lepidosauria; Squamata; Diplodactylidae. The record is from RNAcentral.
AGCCCUGCAGUGAGUGACACGUCAAAUUGCAAAUUUGAAAAAAGUUCCUAUUUUGGUUCCAGGGCUU